CAAGAACAUGACGUACACAUUCCCACAAGUCCAUCUGAUGGAGGUAGUUCCUCCAUUGAGAUGCCCCUUUCCCAGCCAGAACCUGGAAGCAACCUAGAUGCCAAUCAACUGAAGAAUGGAUAUAGAAAAUGUGGUACAUUUACACAAUGGAGUAUGACUCAGCAGAAAAAACAAACAAACAACAAUGGAAUCUUGAAAUUCACAGGCAAAUGGAUGGAACUAGAAGAAACCAUCCUGAGUGAGAGCCUUCAUCCAGUAGCUGAUGGAAGCAGAAGCAGACACCCACAGCUAAACACUGAACUGAACUCCUGGAAUCCAGUUGCAGAGAGGGAGGAGUGAUGAGCAAAGGGGUCAAGACCAGGCUGGAAAAAUCCACAGAAACAGCUGACCUGAACAAGGGAGAGCUCAUGGACCCUAGACUGAUAGCUGGGAAACCAGGACUGACUCAGAAUGUAGGUGUCAGUUUGGAGACCUGGGUAGUCCAUGGGGCCUCUGGUAGUGGAUCAGUAUUUAUCUCUAGUGUACGAAUGGACUUUGG
RNAcentral lists this long non-coding RNA (538 nucleotides) under Cricetulus griseus (Chinese hamster). Its description in RNAcentral is "lncRNA (ENSCGRG00015034842.1)". Lineage: Eukaryota; Metazoa; Chordata; Mammalia; Rodentia; Cricetidae. The record is from RNAcentral.